Molecule: unclassified non-coding RNA, 218 nt
Filed under: soil metagenome
Description: partial contains 5.8S ribosomal RNA, internal transcribed spacer 2, and large subunit ribosomal RNA
Source: RNAcentral
AACCAUAGAAACCUGCGGAGUACCUGCGGAGGGAUCAUUACAGAGUUCAUGCCCUCACGGGUAGAUCUUCCACCCUUGAAUACUAUACCUUUGUUGCUUUGGCGGGCCGCUUUGGCUACUGGCUCUGGCUAGUAAGUGCCCGCCAAAGAACCCCAAAACUCUGAAUAUUAGUGUCGUCUGAGUACUAUAUAAUAGUUAAAACUUUCAACAACGGAUCU